CCUACGGGAGGCAGCAGUGAGGAAUAUUGGUCAAUGGGCGAGAGCCUGAACCAGCCAAGUCGCGUGAGGGAGUACUGCCCUAUGGGUUGUAAACCUCUUUUGUCGGGGAGCAAAAGCCGGACGUGUCCGGCUGUGAGAGUACCCGAAGAAAAAGCAUCGGCUAACUCCGUGCCAGCAGCCGCGGUAAUACGGAGGAUGCGAGCGUUAUCCGGAGUUAUUGGGGUUAAAGGGUGCGCAGGCGGAUUUUUAAGUCAGCGGUCAAAUCGUGGGGCUCAACCCCAUCCAGCCGUUGAAACUGGGGAUCUAGAGUGUGCGAGAGGUAUGCGGAAUGCGUGGUGUAGCGGUGAAAUGCAUAGAUAUCACGCAGAACCCCGAUUGCGAAGGCAGCAUACCGGUGCACAACUGACGCUCAGGCACGAAAGCGUGGGUAUCGAACAGGAUUAGAUACCCCAGUAGUC
Molecule: ribosomal RNA, 458 nt
Filed under: uncultured bacterium
Lineage: Bacteria
Description: partial 16S ribosomal RNA
Rfam family: Bacterial small subunit ribosomal RNA
Source: RNAcentral